Hypanus sabinus (Atlantic stingray) is the source of this 460-nucleotide long non-coding RNA. RefSeq lists it as uncharacterized. The transcript has 3 exons. NCBI's taxonomy places the organism in Eukaryota, Metazoa, Chordata, Chondrichthyes, Myliobatiformes, Dasyatidae. The record is from RefSeq and is a predicted model, not a curated record.
CUGAUGGCAGAGGGAAAGAAACGGUUACAGAAUCACUGAGUGUGUGCCUUCAGGCUUCUGUACCUCCUUUCCGAUGAUAACAAUUAGAAGAGGGCUGACUGAUGGGGUCCUUAAUAAUUCACUUGAUGAGCUGAGUCACUGCUCCUUGAAGAUAUCUUGGAAACUAUGAAGACUAACACCCAUGAUGGAGCUCUGUGCCCAAAGAUCUCAGGUCUCUGGGCACACAGCCAAAGAUCUUCUGGCUCCCAUGACACACCGGUCUGUCGGGACAUUGACCUUCGAUCCACCCGUCUCCAGGGCCUCAAGAUCCUAGUCCUCCGAAGGUUCCUGUUCUUCCUCCCUGAUGGUAGUAAUGAGAAGAGGGCACGUUCUGUUUGAUGGGGUCCUUAAUGAUGGAUACUUCUAUUAAGUGCUUAUGUAACUGUUUUUCAAUUAGGAACAAUAACUCAAGACAGAUUUG